GUGCCAGCCGCCGCGGUAAUACCGGCAGCCCGAGUGAUGGCCGAUCUUAUUGGGCCUAAAGCGUCCGUAGCUGGCCGCGCAAGUCCAUCGGGAAAUCCACCCGCCCAACGGGUGGGCGUCCGGUAGAAACUGGCCGGCUUGGAACCGGAAGGCUCAGAGAGUACGUCCGGGGUAGGAGUGAAAUCCCGUAAUCCUGGACGGACCGCCGAUGGCGAAAGCACGUCGGGAAGACGGAUCCGACGGUGAGGGACGAAAGCCAGGGUCUCCAACCGGAUUAGAUACCCUGGUAGUCC
Molecule: ribosomal RNA, 293 nt
Filed under: uncultured bacterium
Lineage: Bacteria
Description: partial 16S ribosomal RNA
Rfam family: Archaeal small subunit ribosomal RNA
Source: RNAcentral